AGAUGCCACUGCAGAAUGUUUUUGCAAGCAGUAAUAUCCAGAUAAACCAAGAUGAAGUUUAUUUUGGUUACAUUAUUUGCCAUUGGCAUUUUGGUGACACAAUGCAAUGCUGCCUGCUACACACAAAUUAAUGAACUAUCACUUGGUGGAGAGGAACCCAAAGGUUGUUUGGAUGGAAAUGGCGUGCUCCAUGAAUUUAAUACUCGGUGGAGGACAAAAGAUUGCUUGGACUGCAGUUGUGAUACUGAGAUGAUGCACUGCUGUUCGGCUCAUGGUAGACCUGUCAACUACGACAAGAAGAAAUGUUUUGUCAAGUAUGACAAGAAUGCAUGCACUGUGGAAGUACUACAAAAGAAGGAUCCUACAAAGGAGUGCGAGCGUUACGCAAUGGUUGGCUAAUAAUGAGGUCAGCAUGAUCCAGAUUCUAUCCUUAAAUCAUCUCUGAAUCUACUGGAACAAUGACGAUCAAAGCUGCAUUGUCUAUCUUUGUUGAUGAAUAAAAUAGUAGAGUGCUAAAUCACAAUUAAUAUAAAUAUUAAAGUUCAAAAUAUAGAGUAAAGA
Molecule: RNA transcript, 561 nt
Organism: Pelobates fuscus (common spadefoot toad)
Lineage: Eukaryota; Metazoa; Chordata; Amphibia; Anura; Pelobatidae
Gene name: beta-microseminoprotein-like
Exons: 5
Source: RefSeq, a predicted model, not a curated record